RNAcentral lists this ribosomal RNA (292 nucleotides) under uncultured bacterium. RNAcentral's name for it is "partial 16S ribosomal RNA". It matches the Rfam family "Bacterial small subunit ribosomal RNA", at positions 505 to 796 of the family's 1533-position model. The record is from RNAcentral.
GUGUCAGCAGCCGCGGUAAUACGAAGGGGGCUAGCGUUGUUCGGAAUUACUGGGCGUAAAGGGCGCGUAGGCGGUGCGCUAAGUCAGGCGUGAAAGCCCUGGGCUCAACCCGGGAAUUGCGCUUGAUACUGGCGUGCUCGAAUCCGGGAGAGGUUGGUGGAAUUCCCAGUGUAGAGGUGAAAUUCGUAGAUAUUGGGAAGAACACCGGUGGCGAAGGCGGCUCUCUGGACCGGAUCUGACGCUGAGGCGCGAAAGCGUGGGGAGCAAACAGGAUUAGAAACCCUAGUAGUCC